RNAcentral lists this ribosomal RNA (741 nucleotides) under Rothia mucilaginosa. RNAcentral's name for it is "bacterial SSU rRNA". It matches the Rfam family "Bacterial small subunit ribosomal RNA", at positions 28 to 776 of the family's 1533-position model. Lineage: Bacteria; Bacillati; Actinomycetota; Actinomycetes; Micrococcales; Micrococcaceae. The record is from RNAcentral.
GACGAACGCUGGCGGCGUGCUUAACACAUGCAAGUCGAACGAUGAAGCCUAGCUUGCUAGGUGGAUUAGUGGCGAACGGGUGAGUAAUACGUGAGUAACCUACCUUUAACUCUGGGAUAAGCCUGGGAAACUGGGUCUAAUACCGGAUACGACCAAUCUCCGCAUGGGGUGUUGGUGGAAAGCGUUAUGUAGUGGUUAUAGAUGGGCUCACGGCCUAUCAGCUUGUUGGUGAGGUAACGGCUCACCAAGGCGACGACGGGUAGCCGGCCUGAGAGGGUGACCGGCCACACUGGGACUGAGACACGGCCCAGACUCCUACGGGAGGCAGCAGUGGGGAAUAUUGCACAAUGGGCACAAGCCUGAUGCAGCGACGCCGCGUGAGGGAUGACGGCCUUCGGGUUGUAAACCUCUGUUAGCACGGAAGAAGAGAGAUUGACGGUACCUGCAGAGAAAGCGCCGGCUAACUACGUGCCAGCAGCCGCGGUAAUACGUAGGGCGCGAGCGUUGUCCGGAAUUAUUGGGCGUAAAGAGCUUGUAGGCGGUUUGUCGCGUCUGCUGUGAAAGGCCGGAGCUUAACUCCGUGUAUUGCAGUGGGUACGGGCAGACUAGAGUGCAGUAGGGGAGACUGGAAUUCCUGGUGUAGCGGUGGAAUGCGCAGAUAUCAGGAGGAACACCGAUGGCGAAGGCAGGUCUCUGGGCUGUAACUGACGCUGAGAAGCGAAAGCAUGGGGAGCGAACAGG